AGUAUUAAAGGUCCCGCCUGCCCAGUGAAAUAUUUUAAACGGCCGCGGUAUCCUAACCGUGCAAAGGUAGCGUAAUCACUUGUCUUCUAAAUAAAGACUAGUAUGAACGGCUAAAUGAGGACAAACCUGUCUCUUACAGCUAAUCAGUGAAACUGAUCUUUCAGUACAAAAGCUGAAAUAAACACAUAAGACGAGAAGACCCUGUGGAGCUUUAAACAAACUGCUAAUAAAACCCACAAUGUACUAGCCUUAAGUUUUAAGUUGGGGCGACUUCGGAACCAAACAAAACUUCCGAGCAGAGAACCACCACUUCUCACCAAGGCCAACAAGCCAAAGUACCAAACCGACCCAGUCAUACUGACCAACGAACCAAGUUACCCCAGGGAUAACAGCGCUAUCUUCUUCAAGAGUUCCUAUCGACAAGAAGGUUUACGACCUCGAUGUUGGAUCAGGACACCCAAAUGGUGCAGCCGCUAUUAAAGGUUCGUUUGUUCAA
This 496-nucleotide ribosomal RNA is filed under the name Bellatorias frerei (major skink). RNAcentral describes it as "partial 16S ribosomal RNA". It matches the Rfam family "Bacterial large subunit ribosomal RNA", at positions 1842 to 2584 of the family's 2925-position model. The record is from RNAcentral. Lineage: Eukaryota; Metazoa; Chordata; Lepidosauria; Squamata; Scincidae.